GCUCACAAAGCCUGCGUAACACACAGAAGCAAUCCUCAUUCUUCCUUUUCCUCCAAAUGCAGCAGCCCAGCCAUGAGUGUCCUGCAAAACACUUUUAGGGGCAAAGGGAGCCAACGUGAAGUGGCACAAGAACUUGGCCAACAGGAGAAUUGCAACACGUGAAUUCCAACCUGUUGCCAAGACCCAUUUUACAGAUGCACAAACCCGGGUGCUGAGAAGAAGCUUGUUCCAGACGGGACUGACUCUGUUAGGCUGCAGAGGCCAUAGGCCCGGCUUCUGCACCAGCUUGCUCACUCCUCCAGGCUGGAGGCUGGACCUGGAGGGCUGGGGCUUUGUUUUGCUCCCUUUGCGCCUCCCAUUCCCCUUCCAACCUGAGAAAGGGCUCUACCCAUGGCAGGCAUUCAAAGAGCCAAGCCGAACUGAAAACAGACUUCCUGAGAUCAUGCGAAAUCAGCAUUUAAAUGACCUGUGGCCUUGUAUGUGUUCUGAUGAUGAGUGACAGUGGGGGCAGGGUGUACGUGACAAUCUAUCCUGUCCUGAGUCAUCUGAGGGUCCAGAGAAGGUCAAUGAGGAAAGGAGAAAUGCACAGAGGGAGGCGUGAUUGCAGGUGGUGCGCCUGUGGGCCGAGUCAGCUCUGAGCUGACAUCUGCUGAGACCCAGCAGCAUUGGGGAGCAGAGGAGACCUGCAUGAUGGUGCUGGUGGCCUUGAUGAAACCACAGCAAGAUCAGAGUCCCUGCAAGUCCCCAGCAUCUGAUCAUGCUCCGGCUUGGGGUAGGUCUGUGCCUACCCCCAAGCCAGGCCCAAGGCCUCACCCUACGAAACCUAUUUUAAACCCCGCCCAAUUCAGGGGAUGAGUACCAGUGCUGGCCUCACCAAGAGCUGCCUUCUCUCCCUCCCUCGCCGCCUCGCCAAAAAGGGAAACCAUUUUUCUGUAAUUACAAGCAUUGUGCUGUGUGAUUACUGUAUUCCGUAAUGACGGCUGUGUGUUGUAAUGACAGGCACGCCACCUCCCCGAGCCAGUGCACUGGCCCCACUCUGCUGUUGACAUAAAUAUCUUCCUGCCAUGCCCAGGGUGUCGGGGAGGCCCUCAGCUUCAGAGGGUCUGCAGCGUGGGGUUCCCCAGAAAAUAAGCAGGGUGCUCCGGGUGCUCCUCUUCCAGGCCACCCUCUCCUGCGGGCCACAUGGGCAGCCCAGCCUUCCCCAGCCUGGCAUCACUAUCACGUGAUGCCACUUACCAAAAUAGCAGCCGAGAGCAAUCUUUUUAAAAAUGAGCUGGUUCAGGUAUUUACUAAAAUAUCACUUUUAAACGUCUGGGUCUUCGACUGGCAUUUUUGCAUAUGUUGGCCACAGCUGAAGGGUUUCAUCCGAACGCAACUUAAUUGGAGCCAAGAAAAUGAAAAGAAGAAAAAGCGGCUUCAAUCGGAAUGAAUCAACAUCUAUUAAUGGCUGUUUAACAUAUUUCUGCUAAUAAUCAUGCAUUAAAUAAUGUGUGCAUUUUAAAUCUGGCUAAAUAUACAAUAGUCCAUCCCUGCCCCAAAAAGGUAAAUAAUGACAGUUAAAAAUAGUCCCAGGACGUAUUUACAUUUUUUUUUCCCCCUGAGCCUUUUUGGUUUAUAGUUCAUCAUUCCAAGGGUAAGAAUUCUAAAAUUUUCUCUGUGUAUUUACAUAACUGAGCAAUUGCCAUGUAUCACAUUGGCUAUCAGACCCUUCCAAGAAAAAUGAGUUUUU
RNAcentral lists this long non-coding RNA (1729 nucleotides) under Homo sapiens (human). Its description in RNAcentral is "HSALNT0177689". The record is from RNAcentral. Lineage: Eukaryota; Metazoa; Chordata; Mammalia; Primates; Hominidae.